RNAcentral lists this ribosomal RNA (460 nucleotides) under uncultured bacterium. RNAcentral describes it as "partial 16S ribosomal RNA". It matches the Rfam family "Bacterial small subunit ribosomal RNA", at positions 338 to 795 of the family's 1533-position model. The record is from RNAcentral.
CCUACGGGUGGCUGCAGUGAGGAAUAUUGGUCAAUGGGCUUACGCCUGAACCAGCCAAGUCGCGUGAGGGAAGACUGCCCUAUGGGUUGUAAACCUCUUUUGUCAGGGAGCAACGCCGGCUACGUGUAGCCGGACUGAGAGUACCUGAAGAAAAAGCAUCGGCUAACUCCGUGCCAGCAGCCGCGGUAAUACGGAGGAUGCGAGCGUUAUCCGGAUUUAUUGGGUUUAAAGGGUGCGUAGGCGGGCAUUUAAGCCGGCGGUCAAAUGUCGGGGCUCAACCCCGGCCUGCCGUCGGAACUGGGUGCCUUGAGUGGGCGAGAAGUAUGCGGAAUGCGUGGUGUAGCGGUGAAAUGCAUAGAUAUCACGCAGAACCCCGAUUGCGAAGGCAGCAUACCGGCGCCCUACUGACGCUGAGGCACGAAAGUGCGGGUAUCGAACAGGAUUAGAUACCCGGGUAGUC